CCAGCCCUUGACUUGACAGGGCUCUCCACCCUGACCUCCCAGAAUGAUUGGUCUACCGCCUUGAGGAACCGGGGCAGUGUCAUUCCAGCCUCCACCACCGCCUGAAAUCCACAGAGCCACACAGAUCUAUGAAUGCAGAGUGGCACAGCAAUUUCUCCAGAGAAAAGAGUCUCCUAUAAACAUCCCUGUUCCUCUAAAGCAGCUCCUGAUUUUCCAUUACGGCCGGGAAUGCUGGGAUCCCUGUCCAUCACUUCCUCUGGGGUUUCUGAUUGGCUGCUGUAGCCACGGCCUCCACCUCCAGCAGCAAUGAGUAGUGGAAUGUGGACUCCAUUUACCACCUGUAACCAAUGGAAA
Long non-coding RNA from Carassius gibelio (silver crucian carp), 354 nucleotides. RefSeq lists it as uncharacterized. Lineage: Eukaryota; Metazoa; Chordata; Actinopteri; Cypriniformes; Cyprinidae. The record is from RefSeq and is a predicted model, not a curated record. The transcript has 3 exons.